Molecule: long non-coding RNA, 692 nt
Filed under: Pan troglodytes (chimpanzee)
Lineage: Eukaryota; Metazoa; Chordata; Mammalia; Primates; Hominidae
Description: long non-coding RNA NONPTRT001616
Source: RNAcentral
UUUUCCCUCUUCCAUUCUCUUAACGUGCUGUCUCGUUCCUCUAUUUCCUUAUCCCUGAGAAUGGCAGUCUGGAUUACCAUCGAUUGUUAUUUCCAAUUCUCUCUAUGUAUCAUGUUCUGCCUGUUGGACCAGACUUUUUUUUCCCCAGCACCUGGUGCUGGCUCUGUUUCACCAUGACUGCUCCACCCCAGGUGUUGUAUUUUUAGUAGAGAUGGGGUUUCACCAUAUUAGCCAGGAUGGUCUCAAUCUCCUGGCCUCGUGAUCCUCCCAUCUCAGCCUCCCAAAGUGCUGGGAUUACAGACGUGAGCCACUGUGCCCGGCCACCUGGAGUAUUCUUAACAGUGCUCUCACUUCUGGAGGAACUGCUCAGCCACCAAAGAUGUACAAGUUGUUGGGUUUUAUGUUUUAACACCUUACUGGUAACACUUACCUUACUAAGAAUAUUUAUUCUAAGGAAUAAUUUCCAGAGUAAUUUCAAAAUAAUUACUUCCUCUAUUCCUAUGCCUCUCCCCCUUUAAACCAACCAACCAGCCAAGCAACCAACCAACCAAAAACGUAUCCAGAUCUUUGAUGAUUACUGCAAUAAAUACAGAAACAUAACAAUAAGUUGUUUAGAUGAAAAUGGUUACAAACUACCAAGACAAAAUACUGAGUAAGUCUUAUUAAAACAAAGGCUGAAUUUGAUAUAUUUU